Small nucleolar RNA from Oryctolagus cuniculus (rabbit), 104 nucleotides. Its record names the gene SNORA70. It matches the Rfam family "Small nucleolar RNA SNORA70". Rfam says of the family: snoRNA U70 seems to be exclusive to mammals and is a member of the H/ACA class of snoRNA which contain H (ANANNA) and ACA box motifs. The record is from Ensembl. NCBI's taxonomy places the organism in Eukaryota, Metazoa, Chordata, Mammalia, Lagomorpha, Leporidae.
UUGUGAAAGAAUAAGUACAGUGCAGUGGCUGCAGACCGCCUCCUCCUUCAUAGUAAUGCAGCCUGUUUCUUGUAUGGGUUGUCCUAGGGAUACCGAAGACACCC